RNAcentral lists this long non-coding RNA (526 nucleotides) under Callithrix jacchus (white-tufted-ear marmoset). RNAcentral describes it as "lncRNA (ENSCJAG00000072022.1)". The record is from RNAcentral. Lineage: Eukaryota; Metazoa; Chordata; Mammalia; Primates; Cebidae.
AACUAAGCACUCACAGCUUCUGUCCUUUCAUUUGUGCUAACAAUAUUGAUGUCUACCUUGUAGGAUGACUGAGAUGCCAAAGGAGAUACUCUCACAAAGACUUUCUCUAAGCUGUUACCAUCCUCCCAACCAUCUAGAGAGAACUUUGGAAAGAAUAAGCCUGCUCGCUCAACAGAAGACUUAGGAAGGCUGAGCAAUGUUCCUGAAGCCACCUGGCUUGGCCAGUGCAAGAACAGUUUGAGCGAAUACUGACUCUUCCACCCCAACACCAUUUGCUCUGCCAAAAUUUGCUCUGGUCCAAAAUUUCAAGCUUGUGCCAAGAUGUUGAGUUGGCAUGGAGAAGUCAGAUGUCGAGAUAGUGGAGAUGCAGAAUUAAACUGGACUGGACCCUUAAGUCGCCGAUUGAAAGGCACCUGCCCUGGAGAACCAUCUGUUCAUCAGUGAAGUUGCUGAGAGAAAGAACUAGGUGUCUACAAGAUUGGGCUGGGCACAUUCUGCAGGUUACUACUCAAAGGAGCCUGGACAC